UUGUCCUCUGGAGUUCCCUCAAAACAUUUCAGCAGGUAAACCCUACUGCGGCUGCACAAUUUAGGAUGCGAUACGAGCUGCUGAAGUGUUUGGAGGAACUCUGGAUGCAU
Molecule: microRNA precursor, 110 nt
Filed under: Dichanthelium oligosanthes
Lineage: Eukaryota; Viridiplantae; Streptophyta; Magnoliopsida; Poales; Poaceae
Description: mir-395 microRNA precursor family
Rfam family: mir-395 microRNA precursor family
About the family: mir-395 was identified in both Arabidopsis thaliana and Oryza sativa computationally and was later experimentally verified. mir-395 is thought to target mRNAs coding for ATP sulphurylases.
Source: Rfam by way of RNAcentral